GACGAACGCUGGCGGCGUGCUUAACACAUGCAAGUCGAACGGAAAGGCCCUGCUUUUGUGGGGUGCUCGAGUGGCGAACGGGUGAGUAACACGUGAGUAACCUGCCCUUGACUUUGGGAUAACUUCAGGAAACUGGGGCUAAUACCGGAUAGGAGCUCCUGCUGCAUGGUGGGGGUUGGAAAGUUUCGGCGGUUGGGGAUGGACUCGCGGCUUAUCAGCUUGUUGGUGGGGUAGUGGCUUACCAAGGCUUUGACGGGUAGCCGGCCUGAGAGGGUGACCGGCGCGCUGGGGAGGGGGAUACGGCCCGGCCGAGGGCAGGGGGCAGUGGUGGGGUAUAGUGCACGAUGGGCGGAAGCCUGAUGCAGCAGCGCGGGGGGGGGGAUGACGGCCGUGGGGUGUUAGGCCGCUGGCUCCUGUGAGGAGGCGUGAGGGGGGGUAAGGGAAAAAGAAGCCCCGGCUAACUACGUGCGGGCCGCCGCGGUAAGAGAUGGACCACACACGCUUGAAC
RNAcentral lists this ribosomal RNA (508 nucleotides) under uncultured bacterium. Its description in RNAcentral is "partial 16S ribosomal RNA". It matches the Rfam family "Bacterial small subunit ribosomal RNA", at positions 37 to 537 of the family's 1533-position model. The record is from RNAcentral.